CCGAGUCUUAACCGGGCGUUAAGUUGCAGGGUAUAGACCCGAAACCCGGUGAUCUAGCCAUGGGCAGGUUGAAGGUUGGGUAACACUAACUGGAGGACCGAACCGACUAAUGUUGAAAAAUUAGCGGAUGACCUGUGGCUGGGGGUGAAAGGCCAAUCAAACCGGGAGAUAGCUGGUUCUCCCCGAAAGCUAUUUAGGUAGCGCCUCGUGAAUUCAUCUCCGGGGGUAGAGCACUGUUUCGGCUAGGGGGCCAUCCCGGCUUACCAACCCGAUGCAAACUGCGAAUACCGGAGAAUGUUAUCACGGGAGACACACGGCGGGUGCUAACGUCCGUCGUGAAGAGGGAAACAACCCAGACCGCCAGCUAAGGUCCCAAAGUCAUGGUUAAGUGGGAAACGAUGUGGGAAGGCCCAGACAGCCAGGAUGUUGGCUUAGAAGCAGCCAUCAUUUAAAGAAAGCGUAAUAGCUCACUGGUCGAGUCGGCCUGCGCGGAAGAUGUAACGGGGCUAAACCAUGCACCGAAGCUGCGGCAGCGAACGUAUCACCCAAGACAACUUUACGGAGUUGACGAUUGACGGAGCGAAGCGACGUCAAAGCGUUCAUUAAAGUCGAGUUGGCUUAGGGAUACGUUCGUUGGGUAGGGGAGCGUUCUGUAAGCCUGUGAAGGUGUGUCGUGAGGCAUGCUGGAGGUAUCAGAAGUGCGAAUGCUGACAUAAGUAACGAUAAAGCGGGUGAAAAGCCCGCUCGCCGGAAGACCAAGGGUUCCUGUCCAACGUUAAUCGGGGCAGGGUGAGUCGACCCCUAAGGCGAGGCCGAAAGGCGUAGUCGAUGGGAAACGGGUUAAUAUUCCCGUACUUGGUGUUACUGCGAAGGGGGGACGGAGAAGGCUAUGUUGGCCGGGCGACGGUUGUCCCGGUUUAAGCGUGUAGGUGUGUGUUCCA
RNAcentral lists this ribosomal RNA (941 nucleotides) under Salmonella enterica subsp. enterica serovar Typhimurium. Its description in RNAcentral is "partial 23S ribosomal RNA". It matches the Rfam family "Bacterial large subunit ribosomal RNA", at positions 677 to 1534 of the family's 2925-position model. The record is from RNAcentral. Lineage: Bacteria; Pseudomonadati; Pseudomonadota; Gammaproteobacteria; Enterobacterales; Enterobacteriaceae.